This 201-nucleotide unclassified non-coding RNA is filed under the name Hevea brasiliensis (rubber tree). Lineage: Eukaryota; Viridiplantae; Streptophyta; Magnoliopsida; Malpighiales; Euphorbiaceae. The record is from RNAcentral.
AAAUAUUGCACUAGAAGCUCCUCAUCGGUAGGGUAGAACCGAAAACCCGGUGGUAAGCUCAAUUGAGCAAGAGGAUCAGUUUCUUCAACUCCCAUUUUCAGGCCGCAAUUUGCAAUCUUAAGACAGAUGAAAGCAAAGAGAAAUGUUUGUCUGGGUAAAGAGAAAAUGGGACUACAAUUUUCUCUCCUUUUUCCUUUUUUU